This is a small nuclear RNA of Pleuronectes platessa (European plaice), 164 nucleotides long. RefSeq annotates it as U1 spliceosomal RNA. The transcript has a single exon. The record is from RefSeq and is a predicted model, not a curated record. NCBI's taxonomy places the organism in Eukaryota, Metazoa, Chordata, Actinopteri, Pleuronectiformes, Pleuronectidae.
AUACUUACCUGGCAGGGGAGAAACCAUGAUCAUGAAGGUGGUUCACCCAGGGCGAGGCUCAGCCAUUGCACCUCGGUUGUGCUGACCCUUGCGAAUUCCCCAAAUGUGGGAAUCUCGACUGCAUAUUUUGUGGUAGUGGGGGACUGCGUCCGCGCUCUCCCCUG